AUGCAUGCUUUUGUGGCAUUUGGCUACUCCCAAUAUUUCUCUCCUCCCUUGCUACCAACACAGCUACUGGGAGAUGCAGGAGGGAGGGUGAAGGCGGGAGCCAGGACAUGGCCAAGCAGGGAGACGACAGCCGAGGCACAACACGGUGACCUCCUGCCCCGGGGCCGUCAGGAGGUGCUGCAAGAGGGCUGCGGGCUGCGCCGGGGCUUGUGCGUGGAGGCAGAAACCGGGGUGAGAAAAGCACAGGGAGACACAGCCCCGCUUCACAUCCUCCUUCCUUCGGGACGCGAGGGGACCGUGGGUGCGAGGGUGUGCAGGGCCGGCUGUCUCGUCCCCGGACGCUCAGUCCCGGCAGAAAACGUACUCGGUGUAGCUGGUCCAGAUCUUGUCAUCGGCGGGGCCGCCCUGCUCGGGGGCGAAGGCGCAGGUGCCGGUGGAGGAGCAGGCGGCCAUGCGGAAGCCGGCCUCGGAGAGCCGGUCGAAGGCUUGCUCGAGGAAGUUGAACUUGAGGUAGUAGCGAGCGGUGUAGCGCUCGGGAGGGCGGUCGGGGUCGCGGCUCUCGUUCAAGGUCUCCCCGAAGACCUCUUUGGCCAGGGCCGUCUUGCCGCAGACGGUGAUGCGAGCCACCCGCCGGAAUUUGGCAUCGGCCUGCGCCUCCCGCCCGAUGGUGUAGGAGCCCCGGUAGCCGAUGGUGAUGUAGCCCGAGCGCCGCCCGCCCGCCCCGUCCAGCGACUGCGAGGGCGUGAGCAGCGGCCCGCCCGAGGGGCUGCGGCUGGCCGUGGGCGACGGGGCGGACGCCACGGCCCCGCCGCCGCCUUCCAGCGGCUCGGCCUCCAGGUACCCGAGCAGCGGCGGCGGCGGCUCUUCGGCGCAGAUGGAGCCGUCGCGGUGCAGGACGGCGGGGCGGGCGGCGACCGCCCGAGUCUGCGCCAGGCGCCGAGCCAGGUCGGGCAGCUGGAAGUACUCAGCCUCCCGCUGGAGGCGGCUGCGCUCGGGGAAGUGCUCGGGCAGCACCAGCUGCAGGUCCCGCAGGUAGUCCAGGAUGUAGCGGAAGAGGAAGCCGUCGCGGUCGAGGAAGAAGCGACCCUUGCUGUCCCGGGGCAGCUCGCUGGGCUGCUGCUGCGAGAACAUGCGCCAGAGCAGCGAGUCGCGCACCGAGACCACGGUGCAGCGCCGCGUCACGUACACCUGCCCGCCCACGUUCAGCUCCACGAUCUCCGGGAAGGAAGCCCAGCCGCCCGUCGCCGCCGCGGCCGCCCCGCUGCCCGGCGCCCCGCUCCCCGCCGCGGGCGACACGCCGCCGCCGUUGGGCAGCCCGCGGGCGCUGUCCGCCAGGGCCAUACCGGAGCGAGCCUGCCGGAGCCCACGCCCUUCCUCCUCUUCCUCCGGCCGCCUGGGCUACGGCAGGGCCGCCGCCCUCGGGGGAGCGCGCAGCCCUCCGCUGCUGCCCGCCGCAGCCUCCCGCCCCGUCUGGCGCCGGAGCCGCGCUGCCGCUGCGCUCCCCGCGGCCGCGCCUCUGCCCGCUGCCGGACAAACUCUCCGUCGGGCUGCGAACGGAGAGCCCCGGCACCGGCGGCACGGCCGUGUUUAUGUAGCGCGGCCGCACCUCGCGGGAGGCGUGGGAGGCUGGCGGGAGGCAGAGCCGAGCGCACGGGGAGGAGAAGGGGACGGCCCUGCACUGACGCAGGGUCCCCCGUCGUCGUCCGUCCCCCGUUCCCCCCCUCCUUUCCCGGUCCUCCUUCCCCGGUUGCUCGGGGAGCCUCUCCCUGCCCGGGCUCCCGUCGCCGUGGGCGAGCACAGCGGUGCCUGUCCGGCAGGGAUAAAGCCUUGGGGGUCCCGCCUCUCCCCUGCCUCCCCUGUCCCCCUGAGCGAGGCUCCGGCUCCGGCUCGCUCCUCGGCUUCUCCGAGACGUCUCGUUUUCCGCAGGCAGGACGAGCCCCCUGUUUGCCCCGAAGUGCAGGAGCGGGCAAGCGGCGGGACGCUGCUGCUCUGCCGAAGGCGCUGUGCACCCCUGCUAUCCUCCUAGGGCUUGUCACAACCCUCUCCAAAUGA
Molecule: long non-coding RNA, 2052 nt
Filed under: Junco hyemalis (dark-eyed junco)
Lineage: Eukaryota; Metazoa; Chordata; Aves; Passeriformes; Passerellidae
Description: lncRNA (ENSJHYG00000006725.1)
Source: RNAcentral